Molecule: ribosomal RNA, 1606 nt
Filed under: uncultured eukaryote
Lineage: Eukaryota
Description: SSU rRNA
Rfam family: Eukaryotic small subunit ribosomal RNA
Source: RNAcentral
GUAGUCAUAUGCUUGUCUCAAAGAUUAAGCCAUGCAUGUCCAAGUACAAGCCUCACUAAGGUGAAACCGCGAAUGGCUCAUUAAAUCACACCUAAUCUACUGGAUAGUUAACAGGUACUUGGAUACCUGCGGUAAUUCUGGAGCUAAUACAUGCGAAAAGCCUCGAACUUACGUGAGAGGUGCUUUUAUUAGAUCAAAACCAAUCGGCUUCGGCUGUACUCUUGGUGACUCUGAAUAACUUUGGGCUGAUCGUAUAGCCUUGCGCUGACGACAUAUCCUUCGAAGGUGUGCCCUAUCAACUGUCGACUGUGGCAUAGACGCCCACAGUGGUUUUGACGGGUAACGGGGAAUCAGGGUUCGAUUCCGGAGAGGGAGCCUUAAAAACGGCUACCACAUCUAAGGAAGGCAGCAGGCACGCAAAUUACCCAAUGAUCGAAGAUCGAGGUAGUGACGAAAAAUAACGAUCCAGGACUCAUCCGAGGCCCUGGAAUCGGAAUGAGUACACUUUAAAACCGUCCCCGAGGAUCUAUUGGAGGGCAAGUCUGGUGCCAGCAGCCGCGGUAAUUCCAGCUCCAAUAGCGUAUAUUAAAGUUGUUGUGGUUAAAAAGCUCGUAGUUGGAUCUCGGCGGACUGAGGGCGGUUUGCUUGCUAGUAUUACUGCCCUAUAGUCCGUAGUUUUGCCAGAGGUUUCGGGGUGCUCUUAAUCGAGUGUCCCGGGAUGCUGGCAGGUUUACUUUGAAAAAAUUAGAGUGCUCAAGCAGCUAUUACGCCUGAUAUUCGUGCAUGGAAUAAUAGAAUAGAAGUCGUUCUAUUUGUUGGUUUCGGAAAUCGACUUAAUGAUUAUAGGGACAGUCGGGGGCAUUUGUAUUCAAACGACAGAGGUGAAAUUCUUGGACCGUUUGAAGACAAACUACUGCGAAAGCAUUUGCCAAGAAUGUUUUCAUUAAUCAAGAACGAAAGUUAAAGGUUCGAAGGCGAUUAGAUACCGCCCUAGUUUUAACCAUAAACGAUGCCAGCUAGCGAUCUGCGGACGUUUUUUUUGUAGACUCCGCAGGAAGCUUCCGGGAAACCAAAGCAUUUGGGUUCCAGGGGAAGUAUGGUUGCAAAGCUGAAACUUAAAGGAAUUGACGGAAGGGCACCACCAGGAGUGGAGCCUGUGGCUUAAUUUGACUCAACACGGGAAAUCUCACCAGGCCCGGACACUGGAAGGAUUGACAGAUUGAUAGCUCUUUCUUGAUUCGGUGGGUGGUGGUGCAUGGCCGUUCUUAGUUGGUGGAGUGAUUUGUCUGGUUAAUUCCGAUAACGAACGAGACUCUGUCCUGCUAAAUAGUGUCUGCUUCUCUUUUGAGCAGACAAUUCUUCUUAGAGGGACUGGCGACUCUUAGUCGCACGAGAUUGAGCAAUAACAGGUCUGUGAUGCCCUUAGAUGUUCUGGGCCGCACACGCGCUACACUGAAUAGAUCAGCGUGUUCUCCCUUUCCGAGAGGAACGGGUAAACCGCUGAACCCUAUUCGUGGUAGGGAUCGGGGCUUGCAAUUAUUCCCCGUGAACCAGGAAUUCCCAGUAGGCGCAAGUCAUAAGCUUGCGUCGAUUACGUCCCUGCCCU